Molecule: ribosomal RNA, 458 nt
Filed under: uncultured bacterium
Lineage: Bacteria
Description: partial 16S ribosomal RNA
Rfam family: Bacterial small subunit ribosomal RNA
Source: RNAcentral
CCUACGGGAGGCAGCAGUGAGGAAUAUUGGUCAAUGGGCGAGAGCCUGAACCAGCCAAGUCGCGUGAGGGAGUACUGCCCUAUGGGUUGUAAACCUCUUUUGUCGGGGAGCAAAAGCCGGACGUGUCCGGCUGUGAGAGUACCCGAAGAAAAAGCAUCGGCUAACUCCGUGCCAGCAGCCGCGGUAAUACGGAGGAUGCGAGCGUUAUCCGGAUGUAUGGGGUUUAAAGGGUGCGCAGGCGGAUUUUUAAGUCAGCGGUCAAAUCGUGGGGCUCAACCCCAUCCAGCCGUGGAAACUGGGGAUCUAGAGUGUGCGAGAGGUAUGCGGAAUGCGUGGUGUAGCGGUGAAAUGCAUAGAUAUCACGCAGAACCCCGAUUGCGAAGGCAGCAUACCGGUGCACAACUGACGCUCAGGCACGAAAGCGUGGGUAUCGAACAGGAUUAGAUACCCCUGUAGUC